Molecule: ribosomal RNA, 484 nt
Filed under: uncultured bacterium
Lineage: Bacteria
Description: partial 16S ribosomal RNA
Rfam family: Bacterial small subunit ribosomal RNA
Source: RNAcentral
AUUGAACGCUGGCGGCAUGCUUUACACAUGCAAGUCGAACGGCAGCGCGGGCUUCGGCCUGGCGGCGAGUGGCGAACGGGUGAGUAAUACAUCGGAACGUGCCCAGUAGUGGGGGAUAGCUCGGCGAAAGCCGGACUAAUACCGCACACGACCAGAGGGUGAAAGCGGGGGAUCUUCGGACCUCGCGCGUUUUGAGCGGCCGAUGGCAGAUUAGCUAGUUGGUGGGGUAAAGGCCUACCAAGGCGACGAUCUGUAGCUGGUCUGAGAGGACGACCAGCCACACUGGGACUGAGACACGGCCCAGACUCCUACGGGAGGCAGCAGUGGGGAAUUUUGGACAAUGGGCGAAAGCCUGAUCCAGCAAUGCCGCGUGUGUGAUGAAGGCCUUCGGAUUGUAAAGCACUUUUGGCGGGAACGAAAAGGACUGUGCCAAUCCCACGGUUCGAUGACGGUACCCGCAGAAUAAGCACCGGCUAACUACGUG